Molecule: ribosomal RNA, 659 nt
Filed under: uncultured bacterium
Lineage: Bacteria
Description: bacterial SSU rRNA
Rfam family: Bacterial small subunit ribosomal RNA
Source: RNAcentral
GAGUUUGAUCAUGGCUCAGGACGAACGCUGGCGGCGCGCUUAACACAUGCAAGUCGAGCGAGAACCAGUCCUUCGGGAAUGGGGACAGCGGCGAACGGGUGAGUAACACGUGGGUAAUCUGCCCUCGAUUCUGGGAUAGCCCGGGGAAACCCGGAUUAAUACCGGAUAGCCUCUCUGGUCUUCGGGCCGGCGAGAAAAGGUAGCUUCGGCCUCCGAUCGAGGAUGAGCCCGCGGCGGAUUAGCUUGUUGGUGGGGUAAUGGCCCACCAAGGCGACGAUCCGUAGCUGGUCUGAGAGGACGAUCAGCCACACUGGGACUGAGACACGGCCCAGACUCCUACGGGAGGCAGCAGUGGGGAAUCUUGCCCAAUGGACGAAAGUCUGAGGCAGCGACGCCGCGUGGGGGAAGAAGGCCUUCGGGUUGUAAACCUCUUUCAGCAGGGACGAAGCUACUCGGGUGAAUAGCCCAGAGGGUGACGGUACCUGCAGAAGAAGCCCCGGCUAACUACGUGCCAGCAGCCGCGGUAAUACGUAGGGGGCAAGCGUUGUCCGGAUUUAUUGGGCGUAAAGAGCGUGUAGGCGGCCAGACAGGUCCGUUGUGAAAACUAGAGGCUCAACCUCUAGACGUCGAUGGAAACCGUCUGGCUAGAGUCCGGAAGA